AAAUUGAAGAGUUUGAUCAUGGCUCAGAUUGAACGCUGGCGGCAGGCCUAACACAUGCAAGUCGAACGGUAACAGGAAGCAGCUUGCUGCUUCGCUGACGAGUGGCGGACGGGUGAGUAAUGUCUGGGAAACUGCCUGAUGGAGGGGGAUAAGAUAA
This 157-nucleotide ribosomal RNA is filed under the name Enterobacter hormaechei. RNAcentral describes it as "partial 16S ribosomal RNA". It matches the Rfam family "Bacterial small subunit ribosomal RNA", at positions 1 to 151 of the family's 1533-position model. The record is from RNAcentral. Lineage: Bacteria; Pseudomonadati; Pseudomonadota; Gammaproteobacteria; Enterobacterales; Enterobacteriaceae.